RNAcentral lists this ribosomal RNA (497 nucleotides) under uncultured bacterium. RNAcentral's name for it is "partial 16S ribosomal RNA". It matches the Rfam family "Bacterial small subunit ribosomal RNA", at positions 28 to 507 of the family's 1533-position model. The record is from RNAcentral.
GAUGAACGCUGGCGGCGUGCCUAAUACAUGCAAGUCGAGCGAACGGACGAGAAGCUUGCUUCUCUGAUGUUAGCGGCGGACGGGUGAGGAACACGUGGAUAACCUACCUAUAAGACUGGGAUAAAUUCGGGAAACCGGAGCUAAGACCGGAUGAUAUUUUGAACCGCAUGGGUCAAAAGUGAAAGACGGUCUUGCUGUCACUAAUAGAUGGAUCCGCGCUGCAUUAGCUAGUUGGUAAGGUAACGGCUUACCAAGGCAACGAUGCAUAGCCGACCUGAGAGCGUCAUCGCACACCCUGGAACUGAGACUCGGUCCAGACUCCUACGCGAGGCCGCAGUCGAGACUCUUCCGCAAUGGACGAGAGCCUGACGGAGCAACGCCGCCUGAGUGAUGAAGGUCUUCGGAUCGUAAAACUCUGUUAUUAGGGAAGAACAUAUGUUUAAGUACCUGUGCACAUCUUGACGGUACCUAAUCAGAAAGCCCCGGCUAACUACGUG